Molecule: RNA transcript, 1391 nt
Organism: Panicum virgatum (switchgrass)
Lineage: Eukaryota; Viridiplantae; Streptophyta; Magnoliopsida; Poales; Poaceae
Gene name: spermidine synthase 1-like
Exons: 6
Source: RefSeq, a predicted model, not a curated record
CUUAGCCUCUCUCUCGCUCUCUUCUUCAACGCACCCGGCCCGUCGACGGCUCCUUCCCCGUUGCCGCCGCCGCCUCCGCAUCUCCUCCCUCUGCCCUCUCCCUCUCGCUCGUCGUACCGCCAGUCGCGGGCCCAGCACGGGCGGCGGCGCCGGCACCACGCCGCCGGCCAGCGUGGCCGCGGUCAGGCGAGGCGCCGCGCCGGCUGUUCAUCUCCCGCUCGCCCUCCUCCUUCAAGACCCCGGCCGACCUCCCCAAACCCUAGCCCCUUUCGUUUUUCCCCUUCUCCUCCAUUGCCGCCGCCACUGCCUCCUUCCCCGAUGCCGGCCGCCGUCGAAAUUCGUCAUCUCCGGGCUCGUGGCAACCACCUCCGCCCGCCGUCGCCGUCCUCCGUCGGGCCGCCUGUCCACCGCCGUUCGAGCCGUAGGUGACCCUCGCCGCCCCACCGUCUUCCUCGCGCGCGCCGGCCCUGACCCCACUUUCCUCCCUCGCCGCCGCCGUGGCCGCGGUCAGGGGUCCGCCUAACCCCUCGUUCUCCCCAGCCGCCGCCAGCUGCCCGCAGAGCUCGCCGGCGCUCGUGGCGGCGGCCAAGAAGGUGCGGGAGACCGAGCAGGACGCCGUGGCGGCGAGGGUGGGGACCGAGGUGGCCGCCGGGAUCGGCGAACAGGCGGGGAUCUCCCGCCGUCAUCCCGGAUGGUUCUGAUAUCAGCCCCAUGUGGUCCGUAGGUGAGGCGCCCCCUUUGAAGGUGGAAAAGAUGCUGUUCUAAGGGAAGUUGGACUACCAAAAUGUCAUGGUUUUCCAGUCCUCUCCGUUCGGCAUGGUGCUCCUGCUGGAUGGAGUAAUUCAGGUUACUCAGAGGGAUGAGUGCGCAUACCAAGUGAUGAUUACCCACCUCCCCCUUUGCUCCAUCAAAGAUCCCAACAAGUUACUGGAGGAGGAGAUGGUGGUGUUUCACGACGUUUCCUCUGUGGAACAGAUUGACAUUUGUGAAAUUGACAAGAUGGUGGUAGAUUUUGUGAAUUCAUACACAAAGUAGGCUUGGAAGGGACCAGCUACUCCAAGGAAGAGACGAACUUAAAGGGUUUCAAGGAAUGCUUGUUCUUAUACCGCAGUUUCUUAUUGGAACUGGAUAUUACUCUUUUGUAUUUCAGAGCACAAUUGUUUUUGUUGAAGUGUAGGGAAUCCUAUUCUUCUUACAUGAUUUCAGAAAGUAUAUUUGGAUAAUGAUAUUAAGAAAGGCCAGCGAAUUUGGUAGAAAUACAUUUCAGUACAGUCCUUCAUCAUUGUUCACUUUAUGGUGCAAAAAAUAGUUUGCGCUUCACGAUGUAAUGUUGAGUAGUAUGACUGUUGGUUGGUUCGGUUAUGAAUCCUAUAAUAUAUUUUCUUUGAAUA